GGGCACGGGGGGAGGAAAGCAGGGGAUCGUAAGACCUUGCGCUGAUGGAUGAGCCGAAGUCGGAUUAGCUAGUUGGUAGGGUAACGGCCUACCAAGGCGACGAUCCGUAGCUGGUCUGAGAGGACGACCAGCCACACUGGGACUGAGACACGGCCCAGACUCCUACGGGAGGCAGCAGUGGGGAAUAUUGGACAAUGGGCGCAAGCCUGAUCCAGCAAUACCGCGUGUGUGAAGAAGGCCUGCGGGUUGUAAAGCACUUUCAGUGGGGAAGAAGAAGCCUCUAUUAAUAUGAGGGGCGGAUGACAUUACCUACAGAAGAAGCACCGGCUAACUCUGUGCCAGCAGCCGCGGUAAUACAGAGGGUGCGAGCGUUAAUCGGAAUUACUGGGCGUAAAGGGUGCGU
This 403-nucleotide ribosomal RNA is filed under the name uncultured bacterium. Its description in RNAcentral is "bacterial SSU rRNA". It matches the Rfam family "Bacterial small subunit ribosomal RNA", at positions 188 to 572 of the family's 1533-position model. The record is from RNAcentral.